GUACACUCCUGCGGGAGGCAGCAGUGGGGAAUAUUGCACAAUGGGCGCAAGCCUGAUGCAGCCAUGCCGCGUGUAUGAAGAAGGCCUUCGGGUUGUAAAGUACUUUCAGCGGGGAGGAAGGCAAUACGGUUAAUAACCGUGUUGAUUGACGUUACCCGCAGAAGAAGCACCGGCUAACUCCGUGCCAGCAGCCGCGGUAAUACGGAGGGUGCAAGCGUUAAUCGGAAUUACUGGGCGUAAAGCGCACGCAGGCGGUCUGUCAAGUCGGAUGUGAAAUCCCCGGGCUCAACCUGGGAACUGCAUUCGAAACUGGCAGGCUUGAGUCUUGUAGAGGGGGGUAGAAUUCCAGGUGUAGCGGUGAAAUGCGUAGAGAUCUGGAGGAAUACCGGUGGCGAAGGCGGCCCCCUGGACAAAGACUGACGCUCAGGUGCGAAAGCGUGGGGAGCAAACAGGAUUAGAUACCCGAGUAGUCCCAU
This 476-nucleotide ribosomal RNA is filed under the name uncultured organism. RNAcentral's name for it is "partial 16S ribosomal RNA". It matches the Rfam family "Bacterial small subunit ribosomal RNA", at positions 331 to 798 of the family's 1533-position model. The record is from RNAcentral.